This is an RNA transcript of Manihot esculenta (cassava), 3345 nucleotides long. It is a transcript of the gene named exocyst complex component SEC10b, with no coding region annotated. The transcript has 27 exons. The record is from RefSeq and is a predicted model, not a curated record. Lineage: Eukaryota; Viridiplantae; Streptophyta; Magnoliopsida; Malpighiales; Euphorbiaceae.
GUAAACUAAAAUUUGUUUUCAUUGUAGUUUUCAGCGAAGAACAGUCUCCCCCCUCUCUCUCUCUCUCUCUCCAACCGAAGCGUAGGAGAAAGAGGCAGACUCCCUGGCUAUCUUCUCCGCCAUUGUUUCUCGGUCACCGAACCGCCGUAGAGUACUUCAAGACGCCAUUGAUUGAUUGUAGCUACUGGUUGAGCUGUAAUUGAAGAUGAAAAAGAGUGUGAAGAGUGAUAGUAGAGUUCCGAAAUCUCCAUCAGCGUUGAUUCUGGAUAUAGAUGACUUUAAGGGUGAGUUUUCAUUUGAUGCAUUAUUUGGGAACUUGGUAAAUGAAUUACUUCCGUCUUUUCAAGAAGAAGAAGCAGAUUCAGCAGAGGGGCAUCGGAACAUUGGUGGGAGUGAUAUCUUAGCAAAUGGGCAUGCAAGAGCCUCCUCUGAUGUAGCAAAACUUGCACAAGGGCAGUCCGCUUUAUUUCCAGAAGUAGAUGCUCUCCUGUCUCUAUUCAGGGACUCUUGCAGUGAGUUAAUUGAUCUUCGAAAACAGAUUGAUGGAAAGCUCUCCAAUCUGAGGAAAGAUGUUUCUGCCCAAGAUUCUAAGCACCGCAAAACACUGGCUGAGUUGGAACAAGGUGUGGAUGGAUUGUUUGGUAGCUUUGCAAGGUUGGACUCACGCAUUUCAAGUGUUGGACAGACUGCUGCAAAAAUAGGAGAUCAUUUGCAAAGUGCAGAUGCUCAGAGGGAAACUGCCAGCCAAACGAUAGACCUCAUUAAGUACCUGAUGGAGUUUAAUGGUAGCCCAGGUGAUUUAAUGGAACUUUCGCCUUUGUUUUCAGAUGACAGCCGUGUUGCUGAGGCUGCUUCAAUUGCACAGAAAUUACGUAACUUUGCUGAGGAAGAUAUGGGAAGACAAGGCAUAUCUGUUCCAUCAGUUAUGGGAAAUGCAACUGCUAGCAGAGGAUUAGAAGUUGCAGUUGCUAAUCUUCAGGACUACUGCAAUGAACUGGAGAACAGGUUGUUGGCUCGAUUUGAUGCAGCAUCUCAGAGAAGAGAAUUGUCUACCAUGGCAGAAUGUGCUAAAAUUUUAUCUCAGUUUAACAGGGGCACCAGUGCAAUGCAACAUUAUGUAGCAACACGGCCAAUGUUCAUUGAUGUGGAAGUCAUGGAUGCAGACGCGAGAUUGGUUCUUGGUGAUCAGGUUUCUCAAGCUAGUCCCAGUAAUGUUGCUCGUGGGCUUUCUUCAUUGUACAAAGGAAUUACAGACACGGUUCGUAAAGAGGCAGCCACAAUCAUGGCAGUAUUUCCUUCUCCUAAUGAUGUCAUGUCAAUUUUAGUGCAGCGAGUUUUGGAGCAGCGAAUUACAGCCCUUUUGGACAAAUUGUUAGUCAAACCUUCUCUUGUGACUUUACCUCCUGUGGAAGAAGGUGGACUUUUAUUGUAUCUUAGAAUGCUAGCAGUAGCAUAUGAAAAGACUCAGGAACUUGCUAGAGACCUACGAGCUGUGGGAUGUGGUGACUUGGAUGUUGAGGGCCUCACAGAAUCUCUCUUUUCUUUGCACAAGGAUGAGUAUCCUGAACAUGAGCAGGCCUCUCUUAGACAAUUAUAUCAAGCAAAGAUGGAAGAAUUGCAUGCUGAGAGCCAGCACCUUUCUGAGUCAACCGGGACAAUUGGGCGAUCAAAAGGAGCUUCUGUAGCAUCUUCCCACCAACAGAUAUCUGUUACUGUUGUGACAGAAUUUGUGCGUUGGAAUGAAGAAGCAAUAUCAAGAUGCAAUCUGUUUACAUCUCAACCUAGUAUCCUUGCAGCCAAUGUGAAAGCAGUGUUCACUUGCUUGCUAGACCAAGUUGCACAAUAUAUAACAGAAGGUCUUGAAAGGGCUAGAGACGGCCUGACUGAAGCUGCAGCUUUGAGGGAAAGAUUUGUUCUUGGCACAAGUGUUAGUAGAAGGGUGGCUGCAGCAGCUGCUUCUGCAGCAGAAGCUGCUGCUGCUGCUGGUGAGAGCAGUUUCAGAUCUUUCAUGGUUGCUGUACAACGGUGUGGCAGUAGUGUGGCUAUAGUUCAGCAAUAUUUUGCAAAUUCUAUAUCUCGCCUCUUACUGCCUGUGGAUGGUGCUCAUGCGGCUUCAUGUGAAGAAAUGGCAACAGCUAUGUCCAGUGCUGAGGCUGCUGCUUAUAAAGGGCUUCAGCAGUGCAUUGAAACUGUUAUGGCUGAGGUAGAGCGAUUGCUAUCAGCUGAACAAAAGGCAACAGAUUAUCGAUCACCAGAUGAUGGUUUUAAUCCUGAUCAUAGACCUACGAAUGCUUGCACAAGAGUGGUGGCAUACCUUUCUCGUGUGCUUGAGGCUGCAUUCACUGCAUUAGAAGGUCUUAACAAACAAGCAUUCCUCACUGAAUUGGGAAAUCGCUUACAUAAAGAACUGCUUAAUCACUGGCAGAAAUUCACUUUUAACCCCAGUGGAGGACUGCGGCUGAAACGUGACAUAACUGAGUAUGGAGAAUUUGUGCGAAGUUUCAAUGCUCCUUCUGUUGAUGAGAAAUUUGAAUUAUUGGGCAUAAUGGCAAAUGUAUUCAUUGUGGCUCCUGAAAGCCUCUCCUCUUUGUUUGAGGGUACCCCCAGCAUCCGUAAAGAUGCGCAAAGGUUUAUUGAGCUUAGAGAGGAUUACAAGAGUGCAAAACUUGCAUCCAAGCUUAGCUCCUUGUGGACGAGUUCUAGUUGAUAAAGAAAUGGCAGGCUGACAUAUGCAGCUUCCCUUAAUUCUUUGGAUCUCUUACAUCAGAGCAUCAAUAUAUGUUGCCUCAAGCUGUUCCAGAUGUUGUGGGAACUGUGAAGUUUGAUUGUUUUGUUAGCUAUAAGACCAUGUUAAACAGCUGGUUGCAAAUCAAGCUUUUUUCCUAUGCCAUUGAGCCAUCAGUGGGCAGGAAAUCAGCGUCCCUUGAACUCUUGAUGGGGACUUUCCUGCGGGGUCGCAAUUGAACUUGAUGGUACCUUGGGCCCAGACUCCAUCCAUCAUUGCUUGGUCUAGAGGACUGGUUAGAUGAGAUUUGCUCUUGUAGCCAUGUCCACAAAAGUCGACUCCAUUUGUUUUAACUUGAGUUGUGGUCGCUUUCUAGAAUGUAUAUGGUUCGUUGUCUCUGAAUAUUGGUGGAGAAAUACGAGGGGCGGACCAAGGUUGAAAGGAAAGAUCUACAACGUGUGGCGUUGAGCUGAAUUGUGGAAGAUCUAGGGUAUAAUCUCACUAACUGCAUGAUUCUAUAAGCUGGACUCGACUUAAGUACUUUACCAUGUCCCUUUUGCUACUAUUGUCUUGGGAAAUUUAAACAAUAUAACUUGGUGUGUGUGUGUAUAUAUAUAUAU